This 456-nucleotide ribosomal RNA is filed under the name Veillonella parvula. RNAcentral's name for it is "bacterial SSU rRNA". It matches the Rfam family "Bacterial small subunit ribosomal RNA", at positions 28 to 455 of the family's 1533-position model. Lineage: Bacteria; Bacillati; Bacillota; Negativicutes; Veillonellales; Veillonellaceae. The record is from RNAcentral.
GACGAACGCUGGCGGCGUGCUUAACACAUGCAAGUCGAACGAAGAGCGAUGGAAGCUUGCUUCUAUCAAUCUUAGUGGCGAACGGGUGAGUAACGCGUAAUCAACCUGCCCUUCAGAGGGGGACAACAGUUGGAAACGACUGCUAAUACCGCAUACGAUCUGACCUCGGCAUCGAGGAUAGAUGAAAGGUGGCCUCUACAUGUAAGCUAUCACUGAAGGAGGGGAUUGCGUCUGAUUAGCUAGUUGGAGGGGUAACGGCCCACCAAGGCGAUGAUCAGUAGCCGGUCUGAGAGGAUGAACGGCCACAUUGGGACUGAGACACGGCCCAGACUCCUACGGGAGGCAGCAGUGGGGAAUCUUCCGCAAUGGACGAAAGUCUGACGGAGCAACGCCGGCGUGAGUGAUGACGGCCCUUCGGGGUUGUAAAAGCUUCUGUUAAAUCGGGACGAAAAGGCC